RNAcentral lists this ribosomal RNA (409 nucleotides) under uncultured bacterium. RNAcentral's name for it is "bacterial SSU rRNA". It matches the Rfam family "Bacterial small subunit ribosomal RNA", at positions 355 to 776 of the family's 1533-position model. The record is from RNAcentral.
UGGGGAAUCUUGCACAAUGGGCGAAAGCCUGAUGCAGCGACGCCGCGUGAGGGAUGACGGCCUUCGGGUUGUAAACCUCUUUCAGCAGGGACGAAGCGAAAGUGACGGUACCUGCAGAAGAAGGACCGGCCAACUACGUGCCAGCAGCCGCGGUAAUACGUAGGGUCCAAGCGUUGUCCGGAAUUAUUGGGCGUAAAGAGCUCGUAGGCGGCUUGUCGCGUCGGCUGUGAAUACCUGGGGCUCAACCCCGGGCCUGCAGCCGAUACGGGCAAGCUAGAAUUCGGUAGGGGAGACUGGAACUCCUGGUGUAGCGGUGAAAUGCGCAGAUAUCAGGAAGAACACCGGUGGCGAAGGCGGGUCUCUGGGCCGAUAUUGACGCUGAGGAGCGAAAGCGUGGGGAGCGAACAGG